This 648-nucleotide small RNA is filed under the name Pongo abelii (Sumatran orangutan). RNAcentral's name for it is "retained intron". Lineage: Eukaryota; Metazoa; Chordata; Mammalia; Primates; Hominidae. The record is from RNAcentral.
GGGUCCGUCCCCCUUAAAACAGUAGUGGACCUCAAACAACUUCUUCGUCUAAUAGGUGAGACUGGACUUCAGAGAGAAACGUAGGCACAGACAGUACUGGUAAACACAGAAGGGUACCUUCUGAGACAGUGCAGGAGAAACACUGUCAGAGGGAUUAGAGGAGAGAUUUAGAAAACAUGAGGAGAGCACAUUGCAGGUAAGAGAUGGCAUGGAACAUGCGCAAUGUCCAGAAAAUGUAUGCAGAGCCACGAAGCUCCAGGAGUGGGGAGACCAGAUUGGGCUGACGCAGCAGAGUAGGGAUUUCCUUGCAGUGGAAGGAUUAGCAAAGAAGGAGACCCCCAGUGUUCAUUCAUUCUGCUGCCCUUCAGAUUGAGGAAAUUGAGCGAGAGAUCAUCAAGCAGGAGGAGAAUGUAGAUCCUGACUACUGGGAGAAGCUGCUGAGGCAUCACUAUGAGCAACAGCAGGAAGACCUAGCCCGGAAUCUAGGCAAGGGCAAGCGGGUUCGCAAGCAAGUUAACUACAAUGAUGCUGCUCAGGAAGACCAAGACAACCAGUCAGAAUACUCGGUGGGUUCAGAGGAGGAGGAUGAAGACUUCGAUGAACGUCCUGAAGGGCGUAGACAGUCAAAGAGGCAGCUCCGGAAUGAGA